Rattus rattus (black rat) is the source of this 4384-nucleotide long non-coding RNA. RefSeq lists it as uncharacterized. NCBI's taxonomy places the organism in Eukaryota, Metazoa, Chordata, Mammalia, Rodentia, Muridae. The record is from RefSeq and is a predicted model, not a curated record. The transcript has 4 exons.
ACCUCAUGGACUAUUAGGUUCUUUCUGAUUCCCCCUCUAGCAUCACCAUUACUAAUGGUAUGGUCCUUAGCAUCAGGUCCUUUUUGUCCCCCACUGGUCUUCUGAGCAGACUUGACGCAGCUUCAUCUCAUUCCUGAUGGAUCCUGAGCCCCUCAGUGCUUUACUCCUGCGUGAGCGCUAUGAACUGGACCAAAUGGGUUGAAAAUGGCCAGAAGUUGCUCUUUAUCACUUUAGAUCUUUUAUGAUAAAGAAAAAAACUUCAAUUUCUGACCAGUUAAAAUCCAUCUGAGCCAGUAAACGCUCAUUGGGCAGAGCUGGAGCCUGAGGUCGGUAAAUCCAGGAAGAUGGCUGAAUGCUUUGCUGACUCAAGCCCAGACAAGGAGCCAGAUUUCUUGGAUUCCAGAUUCACUUCCUUCUUGGCUUCACCCUGGACCUGUGGUGACUGGAGGCUUUGUGAUAUGAUGAGGAAACUUAGGCUCCAAGAGCUUCUGUGACUUGUCCAAGGCCAUACAGCUAGUAAGUAACCUGGGGUGUGGUAUGCUUCAGAUCACUGGGUGCAUGUGCCUCAGGAUUUUCACUCUUACCUGAUCAUUUCUCCAGUUGAGUAACAUGCUGAUAUUGCCAGAGGCGCAUCAGGACUGUGCACAAGUACGUCAUAUUGGGCUGGGUGCCUGGAGUUGAUGAGAGUAUUGUGAAGAUAUAUGAUCAGCCUUUAGCCCAGCAGGUCCUGGAGGAUGAGGUUGGAACACAGCUGAGCUAUUACACAGUCAAAUGGCAUGAACACUUAUUCAUAAUGUCUGUACCUCCCCCAGAACAUCGUCCUCUAUAGACACUUGGAAGGGCACAUCUGUAAGAAGAUAUGGAGACCUCCCCAUUAAAGAUCAGAAAAGUGUGGUCAAGAGAGGGGCAGGGACCUCUCCAAGAUUUUCUUCUUAAUGAUUUUGCCCCUGAUUCUGCUCGAAAUUAAUUUUUAAAUAUGAUCAAGAAAAUGUAGGCCUCAAGCACAUUUGUUUUUUCAGGAAAGACCAAUUCCUCUGUGAACCUUGCUAAGAUAAGUCUGCAGGGUAGUAUUUUCAUUUCUUCCUGGUUAUUAUAUAAGCUAGCAUCAUAGAAAUAUAAAGAUACUAUACUUCAGAGUAAGUCAGAUUGCGACUAAUUCCCUUUCAGAAGCACAGAUGGAAAUCCACUAAGAUUUUCCUGAGCCCUAGGUUCUUUACUUGUAAAAUUAGGACUACCAAUUUGAUUCUAUUCCUGUGGAGUUGGAGGUAACUGGGGAAAUCUAGAUGAAGGGAAUCAGGGAAGAGCUAAGGCUCAGAGAGUGUUCCCUUCUAGAUAGACAGAUGUGAGAAUUACUUGUCCUGGGGGCUGUACAGAAAGCCUCAUGAGCCCUACACAUGUCCUCACCUAAGCAGAAGAAUCUCUUCCACAAGAUGGCUGUUCAUCCACUUUUUUUUUCAGUUCUCUGACUUGAUAGCUCUAGAUAUUAGCCUCUAGACUUAACAUGUUUGCUAAGUCUGCAUUUGCCUUGGAUUCUAGUUUCCUUAUUAGCUCAUUUGUCCCUUUGAGAAUUAUUUUGUUUUUGUCACUCUUGGUAUAACUUACUCUAAAGCUAAAUGCAGUACUUCUGAAAUGGGAUAGAGUAAAAGGAAAGCCACCAUCUCCUUCAUUUCAGACACUGUCAUUUUAUUGGUGUAUCCUAAGGCUUCAAUAGUUCAUGUUUGUUUUGAAUACUGCCUUACAUAAAUGUGUAUUAGAGCUAAAUUCUCUGUCUUUAGCAGCACACCAUACUAUCUUCCUGAGUCAUUAUGAUAUGCCGUGGCAGUGACACACAUGAACUUCACCUGGGAAUCUUUUUAAAGGCCAAUUCUGAGCCAAUCUGUGUGUCCUUUAUCGUAAAGAAGGUUAAAAUAAAAGCCCCCGCCCCCAUAUGAGUCUUGGUUUUGCUAUGUAGUCCAGGCUGGCCUCUAACUUGUAAUCAUCCUGCCUCAGCCUCCUGGGUUCUGGGAUUACAAGUGUGUGGCAUCAUACUUGGCCUUCGGUUUGGUUUUGCAUAUACUACUUUUUCUUCAGAACUGUGUAUCAAACCAAAGGCCCUGUGUUUUCUGUACAAGUGCUACCACUGAGCCACAACUUCACCGAGAGGGUCUCAUUAAGUUACCUAGUUGGCCCCGGAAUAAACGUAACUUGGCUGUGUCAAUGUCUGUAGGGUAUUUAUCUCCUACAUUAUACCCAUAACCAGGAAGAAAUGACGUUAUACCCAUUGCCUAUUGAUAUUUAGCACGUUAGGCCUGAAAACAGAAUUUAAUAAUCUACUAAUUCAAGGACAGUUGCAAUAAAUUCAAAACAGUUCACAAAAACUUAUUUUGAAGGAAGGAACAUUUUCCAAAUAAAACAUCUAUGAGUUGUGGUCUUUCAUUUUUUUAGUAGCUGUCCUUAGUAUCUUUCACAUUCAGUAUUUUGCCAUAUCACAUAGAUAUGGCUGCUAGAAACCUCAUUUUGGGAAGGAGAAACUGUGAAUAAGCUUGCAAUUUUUUUCUUUUAUAAGAUUUAUUUUCAAGUUGUGUGUGUGUGUGUGUGUGUGUGUGUGUCUAUGCAUCUGCAUCGUGUAUAAGUUUAUAUAACUGAGUACCAAAGAGGAUAUUGGAUCCCCUGGACCCUGAGUCCCAGGCAGUUGUGAGCUGCCUAAUGUGCGUGAUAGGAUCUGAACUCAGGUCCUUUUCCAGAGCCUUAAUCUCUGAGCCAUCUCUCCAUAUAGAUUCUGAAGAUUAGGGAAUUUUGACUCCAUGAGUUCUCUCUCUGGCAGGGCUUUGGGAUCCUCAGAGGUCCCUGGGCAAUCCAAGGUUUUCUAAAAUAAGUUAUGCUUCAUGAGACAUGGAUGUACUUUCACAUGGGCCAUUUUUUCAUUGAAGUAAAUCCUGUUUUUACACAAAAGAGCAAAUACUGUAAGACUUCACACGAUGGGUUUCCUAGAAUAUAGACAUUCGGGAGACAGAGUAGAAUAGUGGUUAACACUGGCGAGGAAGGAGGGAGGAUUAGAAUUCUGUGUAAUGGGUAAAAAGUUUCAGUUUGGGAAGCUGAGGGAGCUCAGGGGAUGAAUAGUUCCAGGCAGUGGGAGUGUGGUAAAUGCCACUGAACUGUAUAAUUUAAAAAUGUUGAGUGGUAAACCUCAUGUUCUAUAUAGUUUACUAUGAUUUAAAACAUGAGGAUUCCAGAUACCCAGUCAUCCCUGUUCUGAUUCACCAGGUUCACAGUGAGGCACAGAAUCAGUUGUAGAAGCACUUCAGGGAAUUUGGAUACUGUUUGGUGGCCUGGCAAGAUCAGCACCCUUACUAUUUUAGUCCCUGCCAGUCAUCAGCCUCUGGUUUCCCUGUUAUCCUCUGCUCCCUGUUAUGUAGCUACUAAGUGGCCUAAGAGCCAGCACCUUCACAGAGUAGCAAAGAGGAAAGGACAUUUGAGGACACAGUGAGAAGACGAUGGUUAUCCACAAGCCAGAAAAAGAAGCCUCACCAGAAACCAAUCCUGACACCCUGAGUUUGGGUUUUCAGCCCCUACAACUGUGAGACAAUGAAUGUCUUCUUUACAGCACGGUCUAUGAUAUCUUGUGAUAGACCAAGGAGACUAAUCUAACUAUUCUUUAAUAUUGGGAACAUUACUUAGAAGCAAAUGAUCUUCAAAAAUGGUAAAGUUACUGGUGUUUGCUAUUCUCAUUCUUCCUUUUCCACCGUUGAGCCGUUGAAAACAAUGAUAGGUAACUUACACUGCAUUCCUGGCACUCAUUUCUCUUUAGCUUUCAGUAUUUGAUUUCCGACACUAUGGUUAAGGUCUGACAAACAUUCUCUUGAUAAUACACUACAGAGCGUUAGAGACAGUCCCAAAUUUCCAGCCAAAGAGAAUAUGCUAAGCUUGGAUGGUGUCAAUGGAGCACUCUGACCUGUGAAGCAUCAUUAGUUUGAAGGCUUUCUUUGUGAUACUCUUUAGAUCUCAGUUUGGAACUGAGUUACAGACUAGAUCAUAUCUCUUCAUUCUCUCCAUUUGAUCUUUCUUUCCUCAUUAAUUUCAAAGUAUGCAAGCUAUAUGCUUUCUAGUAUUUUUUUCCCUUCACAGCCAUUAUCUAGGCACCAAAAACAGAGAUGGAAAGAGACAGGUUUAAUCCAAAGCACCAGUUUCCAUUACCUUAAGCUGCCUCAAUGAUUUUUCUGCUGGGAUGAAAUUCCUUACACUUGGUCUCAGGCCCAAGGUAUAUGCAAUACGUCAAUGAAAUUGCUUGCGACACAUUGACGGGAGUGCCUGGGAACCAUGAGUUUCUUAACUAUUUAAAAAAAAGAGACUCAGAACUUCUUGUAAAGGCACCAAAUACAGAGUUUUCACUUGCCAUGAAGAUCUA